Molecule: long non-coding RNA, 1199 nt
Organism: Balaenoptera ricei (Rice's whale)
Lineage: Eukaryota; Metazoa; Chordata; Mammalia; Artiodactyla; Balaenopteridae
Exons: 3
Source: RefSeq, a predicted model, not a curated record
AGAAAUCUCCCAAUUAGUAGAGAAAAAAGAUAAGAUGAACAAUAGAAAGGAUAAGAAAUUACAGGCCAUUCCAGCAGCUUCACUGCUGCAGUCAAAUGCUCUACCCUUGAGCUAUACCCCCCAGCAGCUUCACCUCCAAAUAACGGAGAGGCUAGAGAAGCAAAAAGAAAUCCAUAAAACAGUAACUCAAGAAAACAUCCCAGACUUGAAGUUCAUGAGUAACCAGACUGAAAUCAACACUAAAUGAAAAGAGAUCCCAGGCACCUUGUUGUGAUAUUUCAGAACACAGGGAACAAAAAGAAGGAAAUAAAGAGGUCACUGACAAAGGCACACCAGAGUGACUUUGGACUCAACUGCAAUACUGGGAACAAGGAGUGCCUCUCACUGGUGGAAUUUAACCUGGAAAUGUAGUUCCCCGGUUUCCAACCCCUGUGAUACAGAGGAGAGCAUAGAAGAGGAUGGAAAAGUCACUGAAUAGCCCACAGGACACAGAGAAACACUAUCUGCUGUAAGCAAAGCACUUGGGUACAAGGCACGUCAAAGCUGUCAAGCUCUACUGGAAUCUACUCAGAACACGCAGAAUGCCAGCUUUUCUUCCCACUUGGUGUCACUGGGACAGGUCUUGAAUCAGAUUAAAGGUGGUGAUGGUCUCCUCACACUCUUGUUCUCAUUCCACGGUUACAGACUUGGCCAGAUUUCUGGGGAAGUCAACCUAAAAUGACAGAAAGUAGCUGCUCAGGACCCCAUAGGUCUCAGCAACACACUGUGUUUAUAAAGCCUACUCUCAGAGUACUUGACAACAAGGAGACAGGUGUUCCUGGGCACCUCCAAUCAUGAGCUCCUUGAGACCUGCAUCUUGGAAGCGGUUCCUUAUUCCAGAAACUUUACUGAACUGUACAAUGUUUAGUUUAUGCAAUAAAUAUUUAUGGUGCACCUAUGUGUCAUGCAGUGUUAACACUAUUAAAAGGAUAUGAUUCAUGCUAUUAAAAACAGCUAGCUCAAUUUGUACUGUUAAAAAUUCACUUUUCUUGGAAGUAGAUGCACUAAAUUAUUGGUUAAGGGUACGGACUGGGAAGGAAAUGUGACUGAGGAUGGUUGAUAAAGUGGCCUUCAACUUUAUCUACAGGGUCUUAUUUCAUUUACAAUAACAUUAAAAAAGAGAAGAAACAAAAAUGACAAAAUGUUGGCAAAUGUCAAUG